CCUACGGGUGGCAGCAGUGGGGAAUAUUGGGCAAUGGGCGCAAGCCUGACCCAGCAACGCCGCGUGAAGGAAGAAGGCUUUCGGGUUGUAAACUUCUUUUCUGAGGGACGAAGAAAGUGACGGUACCUCAGGAAUAAGCCACGGCUAACUACGUGCCAGCAGCCGCGGUAAUACGUAGGUGGCAAGCGUUAUCCGGAUUGCUUGGGUGUAAAGGGCGUGUAGGCGGGAAAGCAAGUCAGAUGGGAACACUCAGGGCUCAACCCUGAGCCUGCAUUUGAAACGGUUGUUCUUGAGUGCUGGAGGGGCAAUCGCCAUUCCGUGUGUAGCGGUGAAAUGCGGUGAUAUACGGAGGAACACCAGUGGCGCCGGCGUCUUGCUGGACAGUAACUGACGCUGGGGCGCGCACGCGUGGGGAGCAAACAGGAUUAGAUACCCGGGUAGUC
This 443-nucleotide ribosomal RNA is filed under the name uncultured bacterium. RNAcentral describes it as "partial 16S ribosomal RNA". It matches the Rfam family "Bacterial small subunit ribosomal RNA", at positions 338 to 795 of the family's 1533-position model. The record is from RNAcentral.